Non-coding RNA from Pelobates cultripes (western spadefoot toad), 206 nucleotides. The record is from the annotation of a GenBank genome assembly. Lineage: Eukaryota; Metazoa; Chordata; Amphibia; Anura; Pelobatidae.
CUCCAAGCUCCAGCUCAGUCACAAAGACCAUAUACAUGCAUUUGAGAGGCAAACACCAGGUCUGACUUCUGUUUCUUGAUAUCGCAGAAUGUCUUAUCACAGAUGCUAUAAAUUCACUCUCCUCCCAGACAACAGAUUCUCGAUCUAUUCCAUAUCUCCCAGCAUUUCACAUGGACAAAGAAGGGCCUAUCAUUUUAAGGGUGUAU